CACGGGGGGCCUACGGGAGGCAGCAGUGAGGAAUCUUGGUCAAUGGGCGCAAGCCUGAACCAGCCAUGCCGCGUGCAGGAGUAAGGUCCUAUGGAUUGUAAACUGCUUUUUUAUGGGAAGAAAAAUUACUAUUAUUAGUAACCUGACGGUACCAUAAGAAUAAGAAUCGGCUAACUCUGUGCCAGCAGCCGCGGUAAUACGGAGGAUUCAAGCGUUAUCCGGAUUUAUUGGGUUUAAAGAGUUCGUAGGUGGGUAUUUAAGUCAGUGGUGAAAUCCUUCAGCUUAACUGAAGAAGUGCCAUUGAUACUAUUUACCUUGAGUAUGAUUGAGGUUGGCGGAAUGUGUCAAGUAGCGGUGAUAUGCGUAGAUAUGACACGGAACACCGAUUGCGUAGGCAGCUGACUAAAUCAUUACUGACACUGAGGAACGAAAGCGUGGGUAGCAAACAGGAUUAGAUACCCUGGUAGUCCACGCAGUAAACGAUGAUUACUAGAUGUUGGAUUUUUUAUAAAUUCAGUGUCCAAGCGAAAG
This 531-nucleotide ribosomal RNA is filed under the name uncultured bacterium. RNAcentral describes it as "bacterial SSU rRNA". It matches the Rfam family "Bacterial small subunit ribosomal RNA", at positions 329 to 857 of the family's 1533-position model. The record is from RNAcentral.